UCUAUCUUCAUUAUUUUUCUUAUUUUUCUUAUUUCCCAUGCUGUUAACUUUCUUUCUCUAUUCCGUUCAUCAUCAAUUCUUCACCAUCAUCAUCAAUCGCCCAAUUCAACACUUAUUCUCAGAAUCUUCAUCUUAGGCUGGCUUCCAAAUAUGAAUGAUAUUUUCUACAUUCAUGGUAGUUUGCUGAGAAGAUUUCAUCUAUUUAUCUAAUCUUCAUCGAAUUCGGCAACACCUUGAAUGUGGCAGCAUUGAUGUUCCAAUCGCAGCUUUAUGUGAGUCUCUCUUACUCUUCUUCCUUUUUUCCUCUGGCAACUUAUUAUUGUGUUGCGUGUGAGGUGUUUGAUAAUUUGACUCAAUGAAAUUUUACUCUAUUAUUUUGCAAUUGUGUGCUUAUCCAGGAAUUAGGUGGAUGAACUGUUAUUUCCGUAUUAGACGAUGCCACUGCCGUGUGAGUAUCUCCCAACAAAUUUGUUUAAAUUUCAAAAUGAUCCUUUAAAUUGAAAAUCUUCGUUCACGUAUGUGAUAUUUUGAACUCUCCACCGAUGCAAAGUGAGUCUGAAGGUAAAUAUUAUUGUCCCCCUUGUUUCCAUUAUGUCUGUAUGUUAUCUACAUCAAUAGGUAUGUACACACUGAAUAUAUAUAUACAGAAAAAUAAUUUUUGCUGCACCAACGGUAGAUAAAAGUGAAAUACUGGCUCUUGUAGGCGAUAAGAUGGAUUCUUUGAUCCUUUAUAAUCUAUGAUUAAAUGGUUGCGUUAUUGAUGAGUCAUAAUUAUGCAUUUCGCAUUGAACUUAGGAAUAAAACGAUUAAUUCUUAAAUCAAGUAGAACUUCUCUUUCAUGAAUGUUGUGUUCAAUAAUCGGUGAUUAGCUAUUUGAAAGUCAUCACUGCAUUUGUUGGUAUCAUAUGAAGUUGUCCAUGAUGGUGAUUAUGAUCUGUUCAAUUUUAGGGCUCAUUCUAUUUCUAUGCAUCCUGAUAACUUAUAUGGGCAUAUGCAGAAUUACUGAAGUGUCCACGAAAAUAGAACCAGUGCAGGAGAAAAAAUAAAGAGCUUAGCACAAAUAGGAUUUUUGAAGUUAUUUAGUGGUUGCCUUAUCGCAUUUGAAGGUUUGCAGGUUAUUUCUUUGUUUACCCUUUGAAUCUCUUUGAUAUUGCUGAAUAAUAACUGUAGUCUCUUAGAUAGAUCUACUCAAUAGAUAAAACUUGGACAAAGUAAAGUAUAUGCAAAAUCAGAACUCUACCAAAUCCACCAACUUCCAAUAGCCCCUUUUCCAUGAAACCCUUUGUAGCAAAGUAUAGAUCUUUGAACUUAAAUCUAUGAGGGCCAUAUUCAUGUUCCCAAUCUUCAAGAAUCUCAGCAAACAUCUUCCGUUUGAUAUAAUAUAUAACCCUAAAGUUAUCAUGAAUAGCGAACUAAGCAAAAUCAAAGGCAACCCAACAGUUAAAAAUUUAGACUUUUUUUUUUCUCAUCAAAUAUACUUAGCUCAGGAGCAAAUAUUCUUGGCUCAGGAAGUUCAGAGAUUUCAAGGUUUUGAGCUUGGCUAUUAACCUUAAAACUCCAACCAAGAAUAUAAUGAGAAGCUACAAUUAACCCUGUUGAAGAUGAGAAUCCAACAUACAUUCUAUUGUUGAGUAUUGGAGAAAGAUCUUUGGUCAAUGAUAACAAAGGUUGUGUUGGUUUAUCACUAAAACCAACACUAAUUGGAGCUAAAGUAACAUCAUAAUAUCCAUACCUGCAUAUCCACUGGAAAGGGAUAAAUUCCUGAAUCCAUAAUCAUCAUAAUAUCCUGCAGGAGUUGAAUUAGCUGAUUUCAAAUCAUUGAUAUCAAUACCAAUAUGGUUAUCAUUGAUUUCAUCAAACUCAAAAUUUUGAUCAGUGUCAAGCUCAAUACCAAAAACAUGGCUGCUACUGUUUCCAUUGUUGGAAUUGUUAGAGACCAAGGUAUUAAUAUUGUAGUGAAUUUGGUAGCCCUUUUGUAGGUGAAAUAACAAAAACAAUUCCAUGGCCACUAUGAGUUGGAUAUUAAGAUUUUAUAGCAAAUAAAGAAUUAGUUGAGAAAGAAGACACACUUUCACUGAGUGUUUUUGAAAACUAUAGGAUUUGGAUAGAAAGCAUUGCCAUCAAGAUAUAAAUGUGAUGAUUGGAAUCCACUUUAUUUAUAGAUAAAGCAACAUGAACACAAGUCUGAGGAACAUGAUUAUAGUUUGAGAAUGAAUCAUGCUUCUGUAGUUCUGUUCGAGUGUUCGGUGUUUAUUAUUUAUAAGAUUUUGUGCUAAGUGAAGGAAAAAUUGCAUGUCUAAUUCGGGUCCUACUAAGAAAUUUCCUAGAACCUAGCUACGAAUUAUUACUAAAAGAAACAUCACAUGGUUACUAAAAUUGCCUUAUCAUCUGGGUCCUACUAAGAAAUGUCUCAUUUAGUUUAGUGAAGAGAAUGUGUUAUACAUUUGAAUCACAAUUUUUUUUUAUUUUUUUUCCAACAGUAGUAGUGGGUGAAUGUUUUUUUAACAUUUACAUAUUAAGUGUUUGAUGCUAAAUUGAAUAUGUGAAAUUUAAUUAUCAAUGUGUUCUAAUUUCUUAGAAUAAGUAGUGUUUUUUUUUAAUCCUGAAUGUGUGGACUUGACCAGUUACUAUUGAUUAUUGAUUAUGCUUCAAAUCAAAUGAUGAAUGAAUAUGUGGUGGAAAGAUAAAAAGAUAUAUGUUGGUUUGACUCAAUUUCAUACUCACUCCGUCUCUAAAUAUAAGACUCCUCUACAAAUUACUAAAUACAUUUAUUGCUCUUUUUUUUCCAAUAUACUAUCAAUUUAUCUAAGAAUAUGAAAAUUAACUUUGAAUGCACUUUUAUAAAAAGGGUAAUUUAGAAAUAGUAACACACAUUUCAGACAAAUUUAUUACUCGAAAGACUUUUUUUAGUACCCGUGAUUUUUGUAAAGUGUUCUUCUAAAAAAGGAUGGAGGGAAAAUUUUUCUUCAUGCAAAAAUCAUGGUGAAAUUUCGAGCCACAUGUUCCAUCGGUCACAUGUGUUGGCAAAUUGCAGGGAGAUGGAGGCAAAUCACCGGGUAAUUUACUCGUGAUUGACAGCUAUAAAAUACAAUUUUAGACCUGGUUGUUUUGCAAUCUUUCUACUCUAAAGGAGUUAAGGAACUAAUAGGGUGAGGGUUGAGUGUUUUGCAUGAUAUUCUUAUGUUGGAAAACAUCAUGAGAUCUCAUUAGAGUAAAUAUCAAACUCUUUUUCUAGUUUUCUCCUUAGAUCUCAAUUUAGGUUUUAGUGACUUGAAAAAUGGAUAGAAAUUAGAGAUUGUUCUUAUUGUCUACAAGAAUGGUAAAGGUAUUCUUUACCUAGGGCUUUGGUCAAUUUACUCUCAAAUUGUUUCAAACAAACUAAUUUGGCUGAAAUUUUUUUAAUUUCAGGGAUCAUUUUAGAAGUAUGAGUAAUUUGGUUGAAAUUCUUUUAAUUUCAGGGAGAUGAAUGGAAAAUUGAAAUUUAUCACAGCAUUCGUUGGUAAAGUAUGAAGUCGUCCAUGAUAGUGAUUAUGAUGUGUUCAAUUUUAGGGCUCAUUCUAUACAUCCCGUUAACUUAAUCUUAUAUGUGCAUAUGCAGAACUACUGAAGUGUUGAAGAAAAUCGAACGAGUAAAGGAGAAAAGAUGAAGAGCUUGUUUGAGUCUUUAGAACAAAUAUAAUUUCUGAAGUUAUUUAGUGGUUGCCUUAUUGCAUUUGAGGUUUUGCAGGUUAUUUCUUAGUUUACCCUUUGAAUCUCUGUGAUAUUACUGAACAAUAAUUGUAGUCUCUCGUUUACUCAAAAUAGAUACAAACUUGGACGCAAUGAAGUAUAUACAAAAUCAAAACAAAAAAAGUUUAAUGAGAAAAUGAUUUUAUGUAACUAUUAAACCAUUUACUCAAACAUGAUUUCACUUUUUAGAUAACAAACUCUCUUUAAUCCUUUUUACCAAAAUUUAAUACAUUACAAAAUCAAAAUGCACCAAUUAAGCAUCAAUUAGACGUGUCUUUUGAAAUCAACGACCACCCGAGAGAACAGAUUCAGCAAUUAACGCUGAAGUAUAUGGCAUUCUCCUGUCCUCAACAAAUAAUUGGUACCCAAAAGUUAAACCAGAAGAAGAUAAACUAAGCGAAGAAAAAUCUGGCAAAGGUGUAUCCCUCUCCAAAUACUGUACAACUUGUCUCAUACUUGGUCUAGCCAAAGGCUCUGAAUGUGAACACAACAAGCCAAGUUUCAACACCAAUUCCACCUCUUCAGACACAUAAUUUGUUCCUAAAUGAACAUCUUUUGCCUCAAGAAUCUCACCUCUUUGCCAACAUUCAAACACAGAAUCAACUAGAAUUAGACUCUCAUUGUCUCCUACACGACCUAUAGGCCUCCUACCACAAACAACCUCAAGAAGAAAUGCACCAAAAGAAAACACAUCAGAAAAUUUAGUAGCCUUACCUCUUCUAAUAUGUUCAGGAGCAAGAUAACCAAUAGUUCCAGCCAAAUGAGUUGUGUGAGGAUCAGCACCAUGAUCAUGCAACCUUGAAAGACCAAAAUCUCCCAAUCUAGCAUUAAAUCCAGAAUCUAACAACACAUUACUAGCCUUUAUGUCUCUAUGAAUAACAACUUUCUCCCAUUCUUCAUGAAGAUAAACCACACCUGAAGCAACACCUUUGAUGAUUCUAAAUCUUUGACUCCAAUUCAACCUCACUUUUGGUUGGUUAUAUAGAUAGUUGUCUAAACUUCCAUUCGGCAUGUAAUCAUAAACCAAAAGUAACUCGCUUUUUCGCCUGCAAUAGCCAUGAAGUUGAACAAGAUUCCUGUGCCGAAGACGACCGAUACUAACAAUUUCCGACACAAAUUCCCUCAUCCCUUGUCUUGAUUCAUGAGACACCCUUUUCACAGCAACCUCAAGUUUGGAACUUUGUAUCACACCUUUGUAGACUCUACCAAAUCCACCAACUCCCAAUAGCCCCUUUUCCCUGAAACCCUUUGUGGCUGAGUAUAGAUCUUUGAACUUAAAUCUACGUGGGCCAUAUUCAUGUUCCCAAUCUUCAAGAACCUCAUCAAACUUCUUCAAUUUGACAUAAUACAUAACCCCUAAAGUUAUCAUGAAUACCAAACUUAGGAAAAUCAAUGGCAAUCCAACAGUUAAAAAUUUCGACUUUUUUUUCUCUGCAGGUAGUUUAGGAAGUUCAGAGAUUUCAAGGUUUUGAGCUUGACCAUUAACCUUAAAACUCCAACCAAGAAUAUACUGAGAAGCUACCAUUAACCCUGUUGAAGAUGAGAAUCCAACAUACAUUCUAUUGUUGAGAAUUGAAGAAAGAUC
This 5314-nucleotide long non-coding RNA is filed under the name Medicago truncatula (barrel medic). RNAcentral's name for it is "long non-coding RNA (MTRU_LNC005178)". The record is from RNAcentral. Lineage: Eukaryota; Viridiplantae; Streptophyta; Magnoliopsida; Fabales; Fabaceae.